CCUGACAAAUGGUUUGCCCGAAUCUAUUAGUCUGACCAGCAAAUGUUUGAUGAAAUGAAUUUUUGUAUUUUUGAGGAAGAAAAUAAUAUUCCUUUGGCUCAGUACUUUUUGAGCCAAAAUAAGUGCUGCCAUAAUAUUGUGCUUGCUUGUCUGGGUGACUUCUUCUCACUUUCCAUUGUAGAUGUUUACUGGUGGUGAUAAUGUCACAAAGAAGAACCAGACUGAGCCCUGAAUCUGAGGCUGCUCCUUUUAUCUGGAGUCAACAAGCCUUGUUUGAAAGCCCAGUGGAUCAAUGAUUAUAAAGGUAUGCUAUCAAUCUACCUGCUAUCUAAUUCUUAUGGCUACCGCAAGCACAUGACAAGAGCUGCAACCAAAGCCUGUCACAGUGACAGAUUUUAUUCGUACAUUGUAUUUACCCCAAAAAUGUCACAAUAAACAGCAUAUUUUUUAUGCCAUUGAUCAUAUUGGAGCAAAAAUAAUUGAAGUACUUUUGAAGAAAAUGUUUAGCAGCCAUUAUCAUUCAAUUAUUGAGAAUAUUGUAUUGCCAUGUAGAACUAGGAAUAUCUUGGAAUGAAAAAAUAGAAAUAGAAAUUAUUCGGCUUCUGUUAAAAUAUUGUGCUUCACCAAAUAUCACAAUUCAUAAAAACGCAUACCAUCCGUAAUAGUCGAGGAAAAUUAGAUGCCUUUAAACUUCCUUCAUAAUGCUUAUUUCACCUGAUUGAAGAAGGCUGUGGUAGCUGUUUGACAAAUCCACAUUUUUAUCAGCAAUUUGUACUGCCCAUCAAAAGUCUCUACUUAGUUGAAAACAACGAAUGGUCACCGGAAUUAUUUUUCAGUCAUUACAUUGUUUUAGUCUGAAAGAGUAUGUUUCGGGUGUUGUCUUUAUUAUUUGAACUCAGUCAUGUCUGUUGUCCUGAAAUUGUUAGCUAUAAGAGCUGUACAGUGGUAACUACCAUAAAGAGCCGGCUUGUGCUGUGUAUGAAGUUUAAUUUAUUCAAAAGUCAUGUAACUACGACAUAUUUCUGACACUCUAUGGUUGCUAUAAUGUUGAUUUUCAUGAUUUCAGUCAUGCCCUCAUACUUCCCAGUUACUGUAGAAUACUUUUUAGAAUAUUUCUGAUACUGUAAUGUUGCUGAAAAACCUGAGUGUGAUCAGGUGAAAUGACUUUUGUCUGGACCUAACACUGGAGAGCCUGUGUUCGAAUGUCCCGUAAUGGCACCGUAAUGGUGUUAUGUUGCAGACACCAAGUGACGGGAUCUUGACUGAACCUUCUGGAGACCAAGAAGGGAGUGAGAGAUCCACUUCAUCCUUACAACAGACACCAAGUGACCUGACUGAACCCUCUGGAGACCAUGAAUGGAGUGAGAUAUCCACUUCAUUCUUACAACAGACACCAAGUGACCUGACUGAACCCUCUGGAGACCAUGAAUGGAAUGAUAGAUACACUUCAUCCUUACAACAGACACCAAGUGUUCCGAUCCUGAUGAAACCUUUUGAAGAUCAAGAAAGGAGUGGAAGAUCCACUUCUUCCUUACAACAGACACCAAGUGACCUGACUGAACCCUCUGGAGACCAUGAAUGGAAUGAGAGAUAAAUUCUCAAAAUUCUCAAAUUUUCAAAAUUCUCAUUAUUUCCUGGAAUAUCUUAUUUUGAUUAUUUUAUUUUUCCAUUUUUAAUAAAUAAUGCCUUCUUUUACAGGUGGGAAUAAGAGACGCACGUGGACAGAUUAUGAAGUGAAGGCUGUUGAGCGACAUAUGUUUGAUUUCAUAACAAGCCAUAAAGUUUCAGGUAAAACGA
RNA transcript from Hippocampus zosterae (dwarf seahorse), 1797 nucleotides. It is a transcript of the gene named cell surface glycoprotein 1-like, with no coding region annotated. The record is from RefSeq and is a predicted model, not a curated record. Lineage: Eukaryota; Metazoa; Chordata; Actinopteri; Syngnathiformes; Syngnathidae. The transcript is spliced from 5 exons.